This 471-nucleotide ribosomal RNA is filed under the name Streptomyces sp. LCF61. RNAcentral describes it as "bacterial SSU rRNA". It matches the Rfam family "Bacterial small subunit ribosomal RNA", at positions 102 to 589 of the family's 1533-position model. The record is from RNAcentral. Lineage: Bacteria; Bacillati; Actinomycetota; Actinomycetes; Kitasatosporales; Streptomycetaceae.
ACGGGUGAGUAACACGUGGGCAAUCUGCCCUUCACUCUGGGACAAGCCCUGGAAACGGGGUCUAAUACCGGAUAACACUCUGUCCCGCAUGGGACGGGGUUGAAAGCUCCGGCGGUGAAGGAUGAGCCCGCGGCCUAUCAGCUUGUUGGUGGGGUAAUGGCCUACCAAGGCGACGACGGGUAGCCGGCCUGAGAGGGCGACCGGCCACACUGGGACUGAGACACGGCCCAGACUCCUACGGGAGGCAGCAGUGGGGAAUAUUGCACAAUGGGCGAAAGCCUGAUGCAGCGACGCCGCGUGAGGGAUGACGGCCUUCGGGUUGUAAACCUCUUUCAGCAGGGAAGAAGCGAAAGUGACGGUACCUGCAGAAGAGCGCCGGCUAACUACGUGCCAGCAGCCGCGGUAAUACGUAGGGCGCAAGCGUUGUCCGGAAUUAUUGGGCGUAAAGAGCUCGUAGCGGCUUGUCACGUC